This 402-nucleotide ribosomal RNA is filed under the name uncultured marine eukaryote. RNAcentral's name for it is "SSU rRNA". It matches the Rfam family "Eukaryotic small subunit ribosomal RNA", at positions 607 to 1010 of the family's 1831-position model. The record is from RNAcentral.
AAUAAGUUGUUGCAGUUAGAACGCUCGUAGUCGGAUUUCGGGGCGGGCCGACCGGUCUGCCGAUGGGUAUGCACUGGUCGGCGCGUCCUUCCUUCCGGAGACCGUGCCUACUCUUAACUGAGCGGGGGCGGGAGACGGAACUUUUACUUUGAAAAAAUCAGAGUGUUUCAAGCAGGCAGCUCGCUCUUGCAUGGAUUAGCAUGGGAUAAUGAAAUAGGACUUCGGUGCUAUUUUGUUGGUUUCGAACACCGAAGUAAUGAUGAGAAGGGACAGUCAGGGGCACUCGUAUUCCGCCGAGAGAGGUGAAAUUCUCAGACCAGCGGAAGACGAACCACUGCGAAAGCAUUUGCCAGGGAUGUUUUCACUGAUCAAGAACGAAAGUUAGGGGAUCGAAGACGAUCA